This 253-nucleotide ribosomal RNA is filed under the name uncultured bacterium. RNAcentral's name for it is "partial 16S ribosomal RNA". It matches the Rfam family "Bacterial small subunit ribosomal RNA", at positions 524 to 776 of the family's 1533-position model. The record is from RNAcentral.
UACGAAGGGUGCAAGCGUUACUCGGAAUUACUGGGCGUAAAGCGUGCGUAGGUGGUUCGUUAAGUCUGUCGUGAAAGCCCCGGGCUCAACCUGGGAAUGGCGAUGGAUACUGGCGAGCUAGGGUGCGGUAGAGGAGAGUGGAAUUCCCGGUGUAGCAGUGAAAUGCGUAGAGAUCGGGAGGAACAUCAGUUGCGAAGGCGGCUCUCUGGACCAGCACUGACACUGAGGCACGAAAGCGUGGGGAGCAAACAGG